Molecule: non-coding RNA, 1603 nt
Organism: Macaca mulatta (Rhesus monkey)
Lineage: Eukaryota; Metazoa; Chordata; Mammalia; Primates; Cercopithecidae
Source: RefSeq, a predicted model, not a curated record
GAGGCGGUUGUCUGGCUUCCUGGAUAAGUCAGACCUGGAAUGGUGGGGAGAGGUCAGGCGAGGAUCUUCAGUCAGCAGAGCCCACCUGGGGUAAAAACAUGGAGCUCAGACAGGCGUGCAGGGCCCAGAAAGGCACCAUUGCACCAGCUUGUCGCAGGGUGCACCAGCGACUGCUUUUCCUUGUUCCUCCGGUUAGCCGCAUUCCUCUCCCUGAACCAGCAUUUUGACAACACGUCCUUAGGGCCAUCACUGAAACUUAGAGGGGUGCCAUCAUCCUCACACCCAAGGCUGAAGUUUUCCAUGGGUGGCCGGUGCCAUGCCCUGUGCUUCCCAGCCUGCCUGUCCCUGGGAUCUUCCUUUUGGUGAUAGGACUGGCUCGUCAAGAUCAGGAUGCACCAGUGAAAGUGACUUUUACCAGCCACUGCUUUUCACUGUUCCUCUGGUUAGCAGCAUUUCUCUUCCUGAGCCAGCAUUUUGACAACGUGUCCUUAUCAUCAGCGUUUGCCUGUUUUGUCUUUGAUCUACAAAAGACAUCUGUUUUACCCCAAUGCAGUCUCUGGAGGUGCACUGGCUGUUUUGUGUAUGAACUGCAGUUCCUGGCGAUUCUGAUUUCAAUGUGAAAAUCUAAUAUUCUAAAGGACUCUGUGGAUCACUAUGUAAUUUUCUUAACAGGGGUUGUAAAAGUAACUUUCUUAGUCACAUGCCUGCAAACCCCACUGCUUCCCAAACUCUGUAAUCAGGAGAAGGGCUGACCUAGUGAAUACCCUUGGAUGACUGGAGGGAAAAAAAAUAGUCUACACAGGAAAUCUCUACUUCAAACUCAUGGGCUUGCAUAGCUCAGAAAUCCCGGGGGCAGACUAAUAGCUAGUGGGGUUGUAUCUUUAUUUGAGCAGAAACAGACUUUCAGGAAUUUUCCAUGGGAACUUGCCCUCAUCCGUCUAGGGUAAACCUUAAAUGAAAAUACGGGCUACUGGCCACCUCGAUGAAAAGGAGGGGGUAUUUUUGUUUUCCUUCUUAUCCUCUUAGCACAGCCAGGAGGAAUACCCUGUUCUGUUGCAUGUACUAAAAUGUUCCCAGAUUUUCUCAACAGCAUACUUUAAAAUAGAACAGCAGCGUGGAAAAUAAGUAAAUAAAUACAAAGAACAUGUCAGAGAAACCCUCUAGAUCUCCUGAACACAGUUGAGUUAUCUCUGCAAAUUAGGCUGGAGAAAAUUCUGCUUAGCAUGGUGCACAUCAGCCUACAGAGAAAACACGUCGUGGAGAAGUGAACUUGCCUGACCCAGCUUGGGCGGACGUGCCGAUGGGGAUAUCUGGGCAAAAUGAAAGCUGUUUAUCUACUACUGUCUCUUACCGUGACCAGCAGCACCUAGAACAUGGAACUCACAGACACAAGCUUCUCCGCUCUGGAUCCCUAAAAUUUCAAUUGGUAGAAAACCAGCUGCAGAAGAUGAGAUCACAGAAGGUUGUCCCAUUCCUCCCCAACCCAGACCACACAGGCCAGUGAAUUGCAGACAGGGAAAGGCAAGGAAAUGUCAGCAAUUAUUAAUGAAUCCCUUCAAAGACCUCAAUCCUAGAUGGGUAAUUCAGCAGAAAUCAAGACCUA